RNAcentral lists this ribosomal RNA (1657 nucleotides) under Maurolicus muelleri (pearlsides). RNAcentral describes it as "16S rRNA". The stretch from base 92 to 1549 matches the Rfam family "Bacterial large subunit ribosomal RNA". The record is from RNAcentral. Lineage: Eukaryota; Metazoa; Chordata; Actinopteri; Stomiiformes; Sternoptychidae.
ACCAACAAACUAGCCGACACCCAAGUUAAACCUUUAACAGAAAUCACUAAACAAAAUAAAUCCACACAAAUUAAAUCAUUUACCCCCCUCAGUACAGGAGAUGAAAAAGGAAAUACCGAGCAAUAAAAAUAGUACCGCAAGGGAAAGUUGAAAGAGAAAUGAAAAAACAUUUAAGUCCUAAACCCCAGAGAUUUAACCUCGUACCUUUUGCAUCAUGAUUUAGCCAGAACCUUUAAGCAAAGAGAACUUUAGUUUUUACCCCGAAACUAGACGAGCUACUCCGAGACAGCCUAAACAGGGCUAACCCGUCUCUGUAGCAAAAGAGUGGGAAGAGCUCCGAGUAGAGGUGAUAUACCUACCGAGCCUAGUUAUAGCUGGUUGCUUGAAACAUGAAUAUAAGUUCAGCCCCCUAAGUUCUCCUACCUUAAACUCUUAAACAAAGGUCACAGAAAUUAGCAAAGUUAAUUAAAGGAGGGACAGCUCCUUUAAGCACGGAUACAACCGCCCCAGGAGAUUAAAGAUUAAAGUCAAUUAGGCCAACUGUUUUAGUGGGCCUAAAAGCAGCCAACUAACUAGAAAGCGUUAAAGCUCAGACAGACCUUAACCUUAAAUACCAAUAUAACAAUCUUACCCCCUACAUCAUACCAAGCCUCCCCAUCCCCUUAUGGACGACCCCCUGCUAAAAUGAGUAAUAAGGGGGGCCGCCCCCCUCCUAGCACCUGUGUACACUGGAUCGGACCCCCCACCAGUAAAUAACGAACCCCUCGCCCCGAGAGCACUCUGGACAAACUAAAACAAGAAGCCCCCAAAACAUAACUCGUUAACCUCACACAAGAAUGCAUCAAGGAAAGACUUAAAAGAAGAAAAGGAACUCGGCAAACCAAGAGCCUCGCCUGUUUACCAAAAACACCGCCUCUUGAUAUCUAAAAAUAAGAGGUCCCGCCUGCCCAGUGACCAUGUGUUCAACGGCCGCGGUAUUUUAACCGUGCAAAGGUAGCGCAAUCACUUGUCUCUUAAAUAGAGACCUGUAUGAAUGGCACAACGAGGGCUCACCUGUCUCCUCUUCUUAGUCAAUGAAAUUGAUCUCCCCGUGCAGAAGCGAGGAUACCCCCAUAAGACGAGAAGACCCCAUGGAACUUUAGACACUAAACUACACACCUUAUACCCUCCCCUCCUUCGAGCAACUAUGGUGUAGCCCGUUUCCUUGUCUUUGGUUGGGGUGACCCCGGAGAAUAAUAAAGCCUCCCUGAGAAAUAAGAGUAGUACUCUCACAACUAAGGCUAACAACCCUAAGUGCCAGAAUCUCUGACCAACUGAUCCGGCUUUCGCCGAUUAACGAACCAAGCUACCCUGGGGAUAACAGCGCAAUCCUCUCCCAGAGCCCCUAUCGACGAGAGGGUUUACGACCUCGAUGUUGGAUCAGGACAUCCUAAUGGUGUAACCGCUAUUAAGGGUUCGUUUGUUCAACGAUUAAAGUCCUACGUGAUCUGAGUUCAGACCGGAGUAAUCCAGGUCAGUUUCUAUCUAUGUUACAUCUUUCCUAGUACGAAAGGACCGGAAAGAAAAGGCCCCUACAACAUGCACGCCUUACCCCCUCCUAAUGAUACCAACUAAAGUAGUAAGGGCGAACACCCGGCUCUGCCCUAAAUAACGGCAU